GAGGUACUGGAAGGUCCUCAGGCCGAAAGGGGCUCUGCCCGCCCGAGGAUGGGCCGGCGGCCGAUUAGGUAGUUGGUGGGGUAACGGCCCACCAAGCCGAAGAUCGGUACGGGCCAUGAGAGUGGGAGCCCGGAGAUGGACACUGAGACACGGGUCCAGGCCCUACGGGGCGCAGCAGGCGCGAAACCUCCGCAAUGCGGGCAACCGCGACGGGGGGACCCCCAGUGCCGUGGCAACGCCACGGCUUUUCCGGAGUGUAAAAAGCUCCGGGAAUAAGGGCUGGGCAAGGCCGGUGGCAGCCGCCGCGGUAAUACCGGCGGCCCGAGUGGUGGCCGCUAUUAUUGGGCCUAAAGCGUCCGUAGCCGGGCCCGUAAGUCCCUGGCGAAAUCCCACGGCUCAACCGUGGGGCUUGCUGGGGAUACUGCGGGCCUUGGGACCGGGAGAGGCCGGGGGUACCCCUGGGGUAGGGGUGAAAUCCUAUAAUCCCAGGGGGACCGCCAGUGGCGAAGGCGCCCGGCUGGAACGGGUCCGACGGUGAGGGACGAAGGCCAGGGGAGCGAACCGGAUUAGAUACCCGGGUAGUCCUGGCUGUAAAGGAUGCGGGCUAGGUGUCGGGCGAGCUUCGAGCUCGCCCGGUGCCGAAGGGAAGCCGU
RNAcentral lists this ribosomal RNA (653 nucleotides) under uncultured archaeon. RNAcentral's name for it is "bacterial SSU rRNA". It matches the Rfam family "Archaeal small subunit ribosomal RNA", at positions 164 to 815 of the family's 1478-position model. The record is from RNAcentral.